Molecule: ribosomal RNA, 375 nt
Filed under: uncultured organism
Description: partial 16S ribosomal RNA
Rfam family: Bacterial small subunit ribosomal RNA
Source: RNAcentral
GGAGGGGGCGAGCGUUAUUCGGAAUUAUUGGGCGUAAAGGGCAGGCAGGCGGCUUUGUGUGUCCCUCGUGAAAGCCCUCGGCUCAACCGAGGAAUUGCGGGGGAAACUGCAGAGCUUGAGUCCGGGAGAGGGUAGUGGAAUUCCCAGUGUAGCGGUGAAAUGCGUAGAUAUUGGGAGGAACACCAGUGGCGAAGGCGGCUACCUGGACCGGUACUGACGCUGAUCUGCGAAAGCCAGGGGAGCGAACGGGAUUAGAUACCCCGGGUAGUCCUGGCCGUAAACGAUGAACACUUGGUGUGGCGGGUAUCGACCCCCCUGCCCGUGCCGAAGCUAACGCAUUAAGUGUUCCGCCUGGGGAGUACGGUCGCAAGGCUG